Molecule: long non-coding RNA, 3530 nt
Organism: Formica exsecta
Lineage: Eukaryota; Metazoa; Arthropoda; Insecta; Hymenoptera; Formicidae
Exons: 2
Source: RefSeq, a predicted model, not a curated record
UCGUGUGUCGUGUGUCGUGUCGAGCGCGCGAAUCGGUUAGUGAUCCGGUUAGUGGUGGUUCAGUCGUUUCGCGAUACGUUACUGGCGGUCCGCGCGAAGGAACGAGAGAAAGCCUCGUCGGGUGUUGGGGCUGUUGUCGGCUGUCGGGUCGGGUGUGUGCGAGGGCAGUGAUCUCUCGUCGGAGAGCGGCGACCUGACGACAGUACGAACCGGCUAACGAGUGCCCGAUAGAUGUAGGAUAUAUGUACAUAUAUGCGUCCACGUCGCUUUUUUCCCCGCCUGCUCCAAACACGCACGAUGACUCCAACCCGUCAAUGUGGAUGUGGAUGCGGAUGCGGAUGCGGAUGCGGACCAAUUCCCUGUCAUCGAGAUGCGUAUCGCGCUCUCGUCGCAGUCUCUCGUCCCAGUCAACGGAACGAUCGCGAAUGGCGAGCGAGGUAAUGCCGAUUUGCCGUAAAACUCCAACCAUCAUCGGGCGACUUGGAGCGUUUUGGAAUCGGGCCUCUCUCUGGAUUCUUGGAUCAUCCACGCGGAUAUAUCUGGGAAACGAUAACUAUCGACUAUACUUGAUGACACUAACCCGUAGAUCCGAACUUGUGGGCUUUUUUAUAUGCAUACCGCAAGCUCCUAUCUACCGGUACAUGUAGUCAGGCCGGCGUUAAAACUUUUCGACGGAUCCUCCUCUUUCCUUCUUCUCCAACAUCAUCACUAUCACCAUUACCACCAUCGUCACCAUCCUUUUAUUCUCCAGAAUGCUCCCAGCGCUUCCGGUUAUCAGCGACAGACAUUUUGACUUUGAGUAAUUUUUUAUCUCGCACGUGAAAAGAGUACCAUCUGUCGAUUAUUAAAGCAUGAUUUUGUGUGUAUGUGUGUGUGUAUGUGACACAUGUCUCGUUAAAAUUUAUAUGUAUAUAUACAAAAUAUAUUUUGAAUACGCGGACUGUUCUAAAACAAAAAUCCAAAUGUUGGCGAUUGUACACCGAAAUAACCUUGUGCGUAAUAUUAUAAAAAAAAAUGAUAUAUCCUUAAAUAUCUUUUCGAUAUGUAAGAUAAAUUAUACCUUUCCAAGAUUUGGAGAUGCGCGAAAAAGGCUCUACUGUUAUGAUAGGCAUAAGACUUUAAUUUGUUAUUAUAUCUAGUUAUAAUUAAUAUAUUCAACGACAUAGUAUUGACAAAUGUCUAUGUAUUGCGUUAAUUAUUGCAUUAGCAAUGGAUGCGGAUCGAUAUGCAAAUCAAAUUGAUUGUAUAGAUACAAAGAAUCUCUAGUGAGAAAAAUAAACAAAGGAAAAUAUAAAGCCAAACGACUGAUCGAAAAAUCUAUCGAAAAUUAAGAAAAGGAAGAAACGUCGAUGGACGUCGAGGAAGAGGAAGCCCGCGACGAUGUCUGGGUGAGGUAGUAGGUUGUAUAGUAGGGAAUGGAAAUUCGCGAAAUACGAAGUCCACUGUACAACUUGCUAACUUUCCCGGUCAUCGGCGCUGCGACGCUACGCGACUCUUGAAGAAUCGCAAAGUUUAUCGCGGAAAGAAAUAAAACUCGAAAGAAAUUUUAUUUUUAUACAAAUGUGUAUAAAUUGGCAAGUUCUUAAAUUUAAAAAAUUUAAGUUUUAAAAAUUGGCAAGUAUAAAUUGGCGAUUCAAUGUUAAAAUGCGUAUAAGUGUCUCUUGACACGAAUGCGUGCACAUGUGCGUGUACGAAUGUGCGUGUACGAAUAUGAGAGAAUGAGUUAAAAUACCACGCAAUCUAUAGUCUCUUGCGAAUAAGGUUUAAACCAAUAUAAUUCGUAUAAAAAGUCCCUUCAUCGGAAUAUGAACUUGCGCGCUCUUUCUCUCUCUCUCUCUCUCUCUCUUUCUAGAGCAUUCGUGCUAUAUAAUAGCAUGAGAACAGAUAUACAUAAGAAAAGAGAUUAUUUCAUCAUUAGCUCUUCCGUUUCUCAUUCUUCAAGCGUAAAUUUUGCACAUGCAGUUAGAUUUCGUACAGAUUAAUUAGAAGAUAUCGAUAAAUUUUACAAAACUAGAGAGUUAGGUUUCUUCACAUAUAAGAAAAAAGCUCGAUUGAUUUAAAAUAUGACAGAACAUUUCUCUUUUUCAACUUAUUAUCGUUAAAAUUUUUUCAAUUAAUUUUUAUUUUUAUUUUUAUUUUUUUUUUUUUAGGAUAAUCUAUAGCACAAACUAGCCAAGAAAGACAAUCAUAAAUUUGCAUAAAAGAGAAAAGACGGAACGAUCGCAGAGCGUGAGGGUGAGAUGGAGAGAAUGAAUGGUGAUGAGCGUGAAAAAGAAAAAAAGGGCAAAAAUGGCGGGCGGGCUGAUUAUAAAGCCUGCCGCGUCGCCGGUUCCCUGAGACCCUAACUUGUGACGUCGCGUCCGAUAUCUCACAGGCUAGAUUCUCUGGUAUUGGCGAUGAGUGCUGCCUUUUGCCGAUCAAAAGUCAGUCCUAACAACAGAGAUACAAACGGCCAUGUGUGUUACAACUUACAACUUGCCUGUCACGCCGCAGUUGCGUAUUUUAUCGCGUAUUUUUUAUUUUCCUAUGUUAUUAUACGAUUAAGGAACAAACGAUUGCUUAUGUUACAUACUCGUUACAUGAUCCUUUAUCGAUGACUUGCAAAUAAACUUACUUUUCGUAUCCCGAUUUCUAUUAAAUCGAACACACCUUUUUUAGUAUCAUUUAUUUUAAUUAUAUAAACUUGGAAUAAAAAUUUGGGUGAGCCUUUUGUUUUGUUUUUUUGCCAAUGAAGUCAAGGAUACUCUUUGUCACUAACAAAAGAUGAAGUUAAAUUUCAUAUUCAAUUUGUGUAAUGUCAGAAUUGUAUAAAGAAUGUGAUAUCUGCUACGGCACAAUGUGUAUGUAUUAUAUAUUAGAAAAAACAAUAGAUUAAAAUAUAUAUAUCGUGAUCUUUCAAGAUAUAUUUUAUAAAAUAUUCACAUUUCUCUUGGAGACAAGUUUAAAGAUUUUGACAUAUAUUAUAUCUAUUUUUAUAUAUUCAUGUAUAUAUCAAAUUGUAUUUAGAUAUAUUCAAAAAUAUACCAAUAUAUCAGUGAGAAAUAUGUCUGUGAUAUAUUUAACAAUAUUUAUAUUAUUACAUGCAACCUCUUUACAUAAUCGAUUAUAAUAUCAUACCAUUGUGAUGGAUUUUCAAAAAAUUAUAGUUAUUAUACAAAGCUCUCGUGUAAACAUAUAAUCAACCAACAUAUAUACUUAUAUAUCAAAUACAUUUAUAUGUACACAAUUCUGAAUACAUAUAUAUUAUAAAAAAGAUAAUACCUAGUGUCUCUCUCUCUCUCUCUCUCUCUCUCUCUCUCUCUCUUUUUUCUUUACAAAUGGGGAGAACAUGAAAGAUUAUCAAAAUAUCUUUACAAUUUACAUGCUUACACAUAUACCAUCACUAUCUUUAAUGAUUACCGAAACAAGUAGACAAAAUCACAAUGUUCUUUAAUAUAUAUUGUUGUACUAUAGUUUAUAAAUAUAUGUCUAUAAGAAUAGAAAAAUGCUCUUCAAUUUACAUAUUGAUUUUUUUUUUUUUUUUUUUUUUU